RNAcentral lists this transfer RNA (134 nucleotides) under Piloderma croceum F 1598. It matches the Rfam family "tRNA". From Rfam's summary of the family: Transfer RNA (tRNA) molecules are approximately 80 nucleotides in length. Their secondary structure includes four short double-helical elements and three loops (D, anti-codon, and T loops). Further hydrogen bonds mediate the characteristic L-shaped molecular structure. tRNAs have two regions of fundamental functional importance: the anti-codon, which is responsible for specific mRNA codon recognition, and the 3' end, to which the tRNAs corresponding amino acid is attached (by aminoacyl-tRNA synthetases). tRNAs cope with the degeneracy of the genetic code in two manners: having more than one tRNA (with a specific anti-codon) for a particular amino acid; and 'wobble' base-pairing, i.e. permitting non-standard base-pairing at the 3rd anti-codon position. Lineage: Eukaryota; Fungi; Basidiomycota; Agaricomycetes; Atheliales; Atheliaceae. The record is from Rfam by way of RNAcentral.
GGCCGACUAGCUCAGCUGGUUAGAGCGUCGUGCUAAUACUGCAGCCACAGUAAAAUGUUUAGCUCCAAAAGGAUUAUGCCCUUUGCUGCGCUGGUGUUACGCGAAGGUCUUGGGUUCGAUCCCCACGUUGGCCA